This 1422-nucleotide long non-coding RNA is filed under the name Brassica rapa (field mustard). RNAcentral describes it as "long non-coding RNA (BRAP_LNC008891)". Lineage: Eukaryota; Viridiplantae; Streptophyta; Magnoliopsida; Brassicales; Brassicaceae. The record is from RNAcentral.
UCCAUUCCUUUCUUCAAGUUAACACUCCCCCUCAAGCUUGACUUUAGCUGAUCCUAAGUCAAGCUUGGAACCUUGAAGAACUUCCUCAUUAAAAACCUCACCAAGGAAAACCCUUUGGGACAAAACCUUGAUGAGGGAAAAAGAGUAAAGCCUCCAAGGCCUAGGGAUUGGCCAGUGAGUCUUUGUGCCUUACCAGCAAUGUAAGGGACACAAAGACUCUGGAUCAUGGCCUCUUCUUGUGAUGCAAUGUUGAUCAUCACUUCAUUGCACACCACCAACACUUCUUGGAACUCUUCUUUGGACCGGCCUGAGUCUUCCCUUCUCUCGUGGCUUCUUGCCAUCUCCAUCAGGUAAGACACGCCUAGCUCCUGCUCAUUGAGUAUCCAAGUACCUGAUACAACAUUCCACAAGUGUAUCAGUCCUCAAGAGAUAAACCUAUCAUGUAUAUAUUUAAAGAGUUAAGAUCAGGUUUACUCCCUUGUUUAGAUGGUGAGGAGUGGCUGCUCUGAACCGCCACUUGAAUCCUCACUUGCUGAGCUUAACAGCUUCUCCUUUCAUCACACAAGCUCACUAACACUCCCCCUCAAGCUUGAGACCGAGUAUAGGGAAGGUCCAAGCUUGAAGGUGAGCGCAUACUAAGCUUCAUGAACAACCUUGUGGGAACACCUCCAUCUUCUUCAGACUUGAUGCUUACUUCCCCACUUAACCACCAUUGCACUGAGGAGAUACCUCAGCUUACUCUCCAAGUACUUCUCAUUAGAAGCUCAUUGAGUUGCUUUCUUCUUCACUCUACUUCGGCUGCAUCUACACAUGAUCAGCUUGCAAUGGCCUUGAGGAACCAGGUCAUUGAGCUUAGAGGAUCUUCUGGUAGCUCACUUGAAUCCCCACCUCAAGCUUGACUCAGUAUAGGUGCAAGCUUGAAGUGAGCCUCAAUGAGACUUCAAACCGGGAGCGCAUCACUGCCUACAGCUGCGCUUAAGCCAACCGAUCUGCCUUUGCCUUCAGCUCCAAUGCCUUCAGGUCAUCAGUCUCCCCAAGACUUAGGUGAUGACCUUUACAUGUGUGUCUCCAUGAACCAGGAGCACAUCACUAUCACUAGCUGCGCUAUCUUAACCGGCCAUACACACAAGUCUUUCUCCAUUGCUUUAUCAAUGGCAAAGUCUUCCUCUUCUACUCGGAUUAGUGAUGGACAAAGAACACUCCUCAUGUACCUGAAACAUCACUCAAACUCCAGCAAAGAUAAGACACUAAGGUAUUGGUAUCAAUCCUUGACACACCAUCAAGGUUGAUCACCAAUAUCACAAGCAUUGCAACAGAUUACACAAGACACAUUCAAGUUCUAAUCUUUGCAAGCAAUCUCCCUAAGUAUAUGCAAGAUCUAAACAGAUUCAAUACAAGUUACUUAGGCCAUUUUAACUUCUG